CGGGGCGUAGCGCAGCCUGGCUUAGCGCGUCCGUCUGGGGGACGGGAGGUCGCUGGUUCAAAUCCAGUCGCCCCGACCA
RNAcentral lists this transfer RNA (79 nucleotides) under Alphaproteobacteria bacterium. RNAcentral describes it as "tRNA-Pro". It matches the Rfam family "tRNA". Rfam says of the family: Transfer RNA (tRNA) molecules are approximately 80 nucleotides in length. Their secondary structure includes four short double-helical elements and three loops (D, anti-codon, and T loops). The record is from RNAcentral. RNAcentral also lists the same sequence under 1 other name. Lineage: Bacteria; Pseudomonadati; Pseudomonadota; Alphaproteobacteria.